UAUAAAAUCCCUAAACUUUUCCUGCUUGCGUGAUUCCCUCCUUGGUCGGGUUCUUGCGAUUGAACCGGGUCCCAGAUCGCUCAACGGUUCCUGAUCGUCUCCUUCUUCCCCAAUAUCGCAACUCUGGUCAUCUGCACUGCGAAUCCGGUCGAUGUCCGCUCUGAUGGCUUCAAGAUCAAUUGGCGUCGGUUCCACCUCUUCUAGGCGUGCAUCAUCACUUACCCUUUGAAAUUUGACAUUGUCCCCAAUGUUGAUAGAAGGAAAAAGACUUGCAAUGUCACAUCAAAUUCCCAAGAAACAUUCUCUGGAACAACCCCAUUCCACAAUAACAGUACUUGAUUUCUCUGUUUUCCACCUUGUAAAAUACUCCUUUUAUCUAAGAUUGCAAUAGGAUAACUGAUAGGUUUAUUAUUCACAGUUACAAUUGCUUGAUUGUCUAUAGGUUUUUCAGGUAUCGGCCCACAAAAUCUUUUCAGUUUGGGCACAUGAAAUGUUGAGUGUAUCUUACUCCCCUCAGGUAGCUCUAAUAUGUAAGCGAUUUGGUUUAUUUUUUUGCAAAUCUUGUAAGGUUCGAAAUUUUUUUUGCAGAAUUUAUUAUGCAUUCUUUAUACCACAGAAAUUUGUCUAUAAGGUUGUAGUUGUACAAAAACCCAAUCCCCCACUUCAAAGGAGAUUUCAGUUCUCUUUUUAUCCGAUUGAUUUUUCAUCCUUGAUUGAGUUUUCACCUGAUUCUUUUUUAUCAUCUCUAAUGUUUCUUCUCUGAGUUGAAGUUCUCUGUCUACUGCAAGAACUUGAGAUUCCCCUGAGUUAUAGUGUAAAAUUUCAUUAGCCUCUCUCCUAUACAAUACCUUGUAGGGACUUGCUCCUAUUGCUGAAUGGAAACUCGAAUUAUACCAAAGUUCUGCCCAGUGCAGCAACUUUAACCACAUUUUAGGAUGUUCAUGACAAUAAGCUCUCAAGUACAUCUCUACUGUUCUAUUAACUACCUCAGACUGGCCAUCAGAUUGUGGAUGAUAAGCUGAAGAAAAGUUUAAUUUAGUUCCACUUAAUGUGUCAAUAUCCCUCCAGAAUUUGGAUAAAAAUAUUUUGUCUCUAUCAGAUACAAUAGACUUUGGGAUGCCAUGUAAUUUAAUUAUUUCUCUAGUGAAUACCUCGGCAACUUUAGAAGCAUUGAAAUUAGGAUGAAGUGGGCAAAUGAGCAUAUUUAGAUAACCUGUCCACCACAACCAUUAAAACAGUAUUACCUUUCACUCGAGGGAGAUUUGUGAUAAAAUCCAUACUGAUAUCCUCCCAAACUCGAGAUGGAAUAGGUAAUGGUACUAGUAAUCCAGCCAUUUUAGAAUUAGAUGGUUUGAUCUGUUGGCAUAUCAAACACUCCUUAACAUAUUGCUUUAUGAUCUUCCCCAUAUUAUGCCAAAAGAAUGUUUUAGCAAUUCUUUUCCAUGUUCUGUGAAAACCCGAAUGGCCUCCAAAUUGGGAGUCAUGAAAUUCAUACAAAAUCUUCUUUAUAAAAGUAGAAUCCUCAUUCACAUAAUAUCUGUUUUUAAAUAAUAAAAUCCCAUUUCUGACAGAAUACCCCACUGUUAUAUUAUCACAAUCAGUAUAUUUGGUGAUUAAUGCUCUGGAAUUCAAAUCAAUGUUGUUUUCCCUUUUCAAGCAUAGAAAAUCAGCUUGAGACAAAAAUAAGACAAUUCAAACCGAUGAGGGUGGUGAAUUCACAAGUAAUGAAUUUUAAAAAAAUUUGGCUAAAAAAGGGAUCACUACUCAUAGGUUCUCAUGCCUAUACACUCCCCAAUAGAAUGGAAUUGUAGAAAGAAAACAUAGUCACCUUCUUAAAACAGAAUGUUUUAUCACUCGGGGGCACCUAAAACACUAUGGCAUGAGGUGAUUAGCGUGCACAACCUGUUUUUUAAUUAACAAGCUGCCUAGUUCAGUAUUAGGCAAUCUUUCACCCUAUGAAGUUUUAACAAAAAGGAAACCAGAUUAUAAAAAUUUAAGGGAAUUUGGGUGUGCAUGUUUUCCCUUAAUAGCUAAAGGUCUAAGAAAUAAAUUUGAACCCACAUCACACAAGUGUGUGUUUAUGAGAUGUUCAAAUGAACAUAAGGGUUAUAAAUGUUAUAAUCCAGAAAAUGGGAAAAUACUAGUAUCAAGAAAUAUGAAAUUCAAUGAACUAAAAUUCCCAUUUUUAGCGAAAGAAAACAAGGAAAUAAACAAGAAAAAAGAAAUGGCAAAAUCAACAACAUAUUCCAUUAUAUUACCCGCAAUGACAAUAGGAAAAGAAAUAACCCAAGGGAACAACAGUUUAAUACAACAAGGAAAUGGAUCUGAGAGUAGAAUAAACAGUAAUUCUAGAACAACUACUGAAAUUCAAACAACAAGAGAAACACCAAUACAGUGCAAUGAUUCUGGAAACUCAGUGAAUAUAGAAGAUCUCUCUUCUCAACUUCAGAACUUAAGCAUUAGUGGUAGUCAACCUGAAGUGACUAAAACUCAAAGGUAUCCUACUAGAGUAAAACAACCUUCUGUGUUACUCAAAGACUAUGAAUGCUCCUAUUCAGAACUAGACAGUGAUGAACCAACUUCAUUUAGUCAGGCAAACAAAGAUGAAAAAUGGAGGGAAGCAAUGGUAGAAGAGAUGAAUGCUCUCAAAAUAAAUGAUACAUGGAGUCUAGUUCCUCAAACGAGUGAUAUGAACAUUGUGGGAUGCAAAUGGGUGUUCAAAAUAAAAAAGAAGGCAGAUAGAACCCUAGAAAGAUAUAAAACAAGGUUAGUUGCUAAAGGAUAUAACCAGGAAGAAGGGGUUGAUUAUACCUCAACUUAUAGUCCAGUGGUUAGAAUGAACACAGUCAGGGCAAUUGUGUCAUUAGCCACUUCACACAGGUGGCAAUUAAGACAACUUGACAUUAAAAAUGUCUUUCUAAAUGGCUAUCUAAAUGAGGCAGUCUAUAUGAAGCAACCAACUGGGUUUAUAGAUAAGAAAUCACCUAAACAUGUGUGUCUUCUUCAUAAGGCCUUGUAUGGACUUAAACAAGCUCCUAGAUCUUGGUACUCCAGAUUACAAAAUUUUCUAACAGAGAAUGAUUUUUCCAACAGCAAAACAGAUAUACAUCUUUAUUUUUUAAAGUAAUUGGAGAGUUGAAGAUCUACAUACUAGUAUAUGUAGAUGACAUCAUAGUAACUGGUAACUCAUCACAAAUCAUAAAUGAGUGCAUUGAGAUGAUUUGCAAAAAGUUCUCAUGUAGAGAUUUAGGAAGUCUAAAUUUUUUCUUAGGGAUGGAGUGUAUAAGAGAAGGGAGUACUCUUAUUCUAAACCAGAGAAAUAUACAUUAGAAUAUACUCAAAAAGUUUGAAAUGACAGAAAGUAAGCCUUGUAAGACACUAUUGCAUCAACACCUAGACUAACAAAAGAAAUGGGAACACCUAUAGAGGAUCCAAAAGUUUAUAGAAAUAUAAUUGGAUCACUGCAAUAUCUUUUACUCUAACAAGGCCAGAUAUUGCAUUUCAUGUAAACCACUUGAGUCGGUUUUUACAAAUACCUACUGAGAUACACUUACAGGCUGCUAAAAGGGUAUUGAGAUAUGUCAAGGGAAGUAUCAACUUAGGACUUAGGUUUAAUUCCUCAGAUAGGUCAGAAAACACACUUAUAGCAUACUGUGAUAUAUUCAGAUUGGGGGAACAAUCCUGAUGACAGGAUUUCCAUAUCUGGAUCUAGCAUAUGGUUUGGAAAUAAUAUGAUAGCCUGGUCAGCUAAGAAACAAUCAACAGUAGCAAAAUCAAGUUGUAAGGUUGAAUAUAGGGCAUUAACAGGAGUAAUAUCAGAAAUAAAGUGGUUUUGCUAUCUAUUUAGAGAAUUAGGGAUGAAACUAGAUUCUUCACCACUAGUACUAUGUGAUAACGAAUCUGCCAUAUUUUUGGCAAAAAAUCCAAAUUCAAGUGGAAGAACAAGACACAUGGACAUCUCUAUACAUUUCAUUAGAGAACUAAUAAACAAAGGAGCAAUAAGGAUAGAGUAUAUUCCAUCCAACUAGUAACUUGCGGAUGGAUUCACAAAGAUACUAGGAACUGAAGAUUUUAGAAGGCAUAGGGACAAACACAAACUAAGUCCUAAUAAGAAAAAAGUAGACAUAAGAAAUUGAUCGUGUCCCUAAGGAAAGCCCACUGAUCGUAUAUUAUAAUUAUAAUAACAACUGUUCUCCCCCCUUUUACACUUCACCUCUAGGGGUAUUUAUACAGUUUUCUACCGGACUUUGGACCCUGCGUUCUCGAACUAAGAUCCGACCUAAAAGACCCGACAUGCUUGGGACACAACCCUUGGAGAAAUAACCGUCCGGGCCGAUGGAUCCGCCCGGUCGGGCGAGCACCCAUGAGGCGGCUUGGAUCUUCCUCUUUUGUUCACUUCGCUGGGCCUUGUUUCUGGACUCUUGCGUGGGCCUGGGCUAAUGGAUCAGGGGUACCAUCAGUACUCCCCCUUCCUCCUAUCCUAUAAAUAGGGUAUUUUCUUUCAUUUGAUUCAUUUCUCCUCAUUCAUCAUGUCUUCUCUUGAUGAUCUGUUGGAGGAGCUGGGAUGCGAGUUGGCGCGUCAGCGAGCAGCCUGGCUAGAUGAUCUCCUUCAACGUGUUUGCGACGCUCAGGAACUUUUUGCAGGUAAUCCUCGUCUGUCUCAUCUGAUUUCGGAGGUCCAGCAACGCGUUUGUGCUCUCUGGCGAGUCUCCAACAGAACCGGCAUUGUCAUUCUGGCAACGGCAACUGCUCCAGGUAACUGACUCCCUGCAACUGGUGCUCCGCCCGGGCUCCCUGUCCCUGCUGCUGUCCUCGGUGCGAUUCCAGCAACUGCUCCCCCCCCAAUGGGUUCCCUGCAACUGCCGCUACUGAGUUGUCUUCUACUGGGCGUUCUACCGCACCUGCUGCUCGUCGCCGUCGGGGACGCGGAUAACGUGCCAGACGCUCUAGUCUUCCAUCGAGUGACCUACGCUAUUUCCUUUCCCGCGGGCCGCCCUAACGGGCAUCUUUGAUGUUCUCCAUACGGGGGGCCUGCUUGUAUCUCAUUUUUUUUAAACGUAUUUGAACGUUUUUCUUGUUCCCCUGCAUUUCUCCUUGUGAUUCCUGCAAACUCGUUUGUGUUUAUCUUGUUUUUACGUACUGAUGUAAUUUACUUUUUUUCCUCCUAUUUUUUCUUAAAAAACAGUUUCUUUUUCCUCCAAGAAGUUUUUUUUAUUUUUAUUGCCGAAUUUAACUACUUGUUGAUCAGGGGUCUGGCAACUCCUUUCAAACUUUGACCGUGCUAUCAUUUCCCUCGGAUCCUAUGACCACCUAGUUCCCUACGUCUAUUCCCCGUACGGGCCAUUUGAGCAGGUAUACCCUCUACCAUUUUUCCCUAGGGUCUUGUGACGCCUACUUCCGACAGGACUAUAGUUAGUUUUUUUUAUUUUUUAUGGUUGCCUCCCUUCAGGUGCCUACCUUACGGCUCUUUUGCUCUACCUCCCUUAAGUAUCCGGGCUGGACAUGACAUAUGGGCUGAAAUGUACUUAUUCUUCCGUGCGGUCCAUCCGGCCCUGGGGUAUGGAAUUUUACCUUUCAGAAAAAUUUUUAAUUUCCCGCCAACAUUCUUCUAUAAAUUCGACUUUCACUCCCUUCACUUACUUUCAUUCAUUUACUUGCCAGAGCUAGGGUUUCUCUCCCGCUGAUCGCCGCGUCUUCUCCUAUGGCCAAUCUUAAUACCUUCAUAGACGAUAUGUCAUUUGACG
Molecule: long non-coding RNA, 5744 nt
Filed under: Zostera marina
Lineage: Eukaryota; Viridiplantae; Streptophyta; Magnoliopsida; Alismatales; Zosteraceae
Description: long non-coding RNA (ZMAR_LNC001789)
Source: RNAcentral